This 847-nucleotide ribosomal RNA is filed under the name uncultured Acidobacteriota bacterium. RNAcentral's name for it is "bacterial SSU rRNA". It matches the Rfam family "Bacterial small subunit ribosomal RNA", at positions 28 to 908 of the family's 1533-position model. The record is from RNAcentral. Lineage: Bacteria; Pseudomonadati; Acidobacteriota.
AAUCAACGCUGGCGGCGCGCUUAACACAUGCAAGUCGAACGAGAAAGUGGAGCAAUCCAUGAGUAAAGUGGCGUACGGGUGAGUAACACGUGGGUAAUCUGCCUCUGGGUGGGGAAUAACUCUGGGAAACCGGAGCUAAUACCGCAUAAGCCCGCAAGGGGAAAGGCGAAAGUCGCCGAGAGAGGAGCCCGCGGCUGAUUAGCUAGUUGGUGGGGUAAGAGCUCACCAAGGCAGAGAUCGGUAGCCGGCCUGAGAGGGCACACGGCCACACUGGCACUGAAACACGGGCCAGACUCCUACGGGAGGCAGCAGUGGGGAAUCUUGCACUAUGGGGGAAACCCUGAUGCAGCGACGCCGCGUGAGUGAUGAAGCCCUUCGGGGUGUAAAGCUCUUUCGGCCCGGACGAUAAUGACGGUACGGGAAGAAGAAGCUGCGGCUAACUACGUGCCAGCAGCCGCGGUAAUACGUAGGCAGCGAGCGUUGUUCGGAGUUACUGGGCGUAAAGCGUGCGUAGGCGGUGGUCCAAGUCUGGUGUGAAAUCUCCCGGCUCAACCGGGAGGGUGCGCCGGAAACUGGGCCGCUGGAGUGCCGGAGAGGUAAGCGGAAUUCCUGGUGUAGCGGUGAAAUGCGUAGAUAUCAGGAGGAACACCCGUGGUGUAGACGGCUUACUGGACGGCGACUGACGCUGAGGCACGAAAGCGUGGGGAGCAAACAGGAUUAGAUACCCUGGUAGUCCACGCCCUAAACGAUGCAUACUUGGUGUGGGCAGUUCAGUCUGUCCGUGCCGAAGCUAACGCGAUAAGUAUGCCGCCUGGGGAGUACGGUCGCAAGGCUGAAACUCAAAGGA